AUUAAGCUGCAAGAGGUGAGUUAAGAAACUUUAUUAUUAUUAUUGGUUAGGGUAGGCAUUUUUAUUCUCAUGCUGAGAAUCCAUCGGGCAAUACCACACAGCAGCAGCUUGCAGCAGUCCUUCCUUUGGGUAGGAUUCAUCUCACCUCACUUCAACCAUCAUUGCUAUUCAGUCAGAGCUGCCUGACCCCUUGCCACCUAUGGAUGGCACAGAGAAAGCCAACUUACCUGCUCCUGGAGAUGCCUCUAACUGUAGAUAGAAGUUAGGUUGGUUUGCCUAGCCUAGAUUGCCACCUUCUAGAUAAAACCUAAUUUUCAUGUCUCUGAUACCUUCUGCAAAGCAGAUGUCUUCCAGUUUGGCUACGUUGUUCUACUUUGCCAAAUGCUACCUGCAGCAUUGAGUGGAAAUGGAGAAUACAAAUUUAGAAAAUCACUGUCCACACAGGAGGCUCUAAUUUGUCCAGCCCAUGUCAGCGUUUGGUACCAGAUGGCUCCCUCAAAUACAAAGAACAGUAGCAGGCAGUUGCAGAGCAAUCUCUCUUCCACGACAGCCCUUUUCCUAACCUCUAGCAGCUGGCUUCACCCUGCUGCAUGACAUUGUAUACGCCUUCCAAAUGCUUCUUACUACUGGCUAUAAUGACCCUAGGUAUUAUUAUCGGCAUAAAUUACACUUUGGCUCUUGGGUUUCAGGAGCCCCGGGUGGCAGUGGGUCUUGCAGCCUCAUUAAGCUCUCAAAUACACCCUUCCUUCUUGCUCCUGUGCCAGUCCCUUCUUGCCCGUCCUGAAUGGGUGCACGGACCUGCCCUGGACAUCGGUGGUGCAUGGACCUGCCUCCCCUCCCUCAGCCCACUGGCUCCUGUGGUGUCUGUAGCUUUUUUUCAGGAGAUAUGGGUACUUUGGCAUAAUAGCAGCUAG
RNAcentral lists this long non-coding RNA (914 nucleotides) under Anas platyrhynchos platyrhynchos (common mallard). RNAcentral's name for it is "lncRNA (ENSAPLG00000021556.1)". Lineage: Eukaryota; Metazoa; Chordata; Aves; Anseriformes; Anatidae. The record is from RNAcentral.